RNAcentral lists this ribosomal RNA (466 nucleotides) under uncultured bacterium. RNAcentral describes it as "partial 16S ribosomal RNA". It matches the Rfam family "Bacterial small subunit ribosomal RNA", at positions 28 to 505 of the family's 1533-position model. The record is from RNAcentral.
GACGAACGCUGGCGGCGUGCUUAACACAUGCAAGUCGAACGGAAAGGCCCUGCUUUUGUGGGGUGCUCGAGUGGCGAACGGGUGAGUAACACGUGAGUAACCUGCCCUUGACUUUGGGAUAACUUCAGGAAACUGGGGCUAAUACCGGAUAGGAGCUCCUGCUGCAUGGUGGGGGUUGGAAAGUUUCGGCGGUUGGGGAUGGACUCGCGGCUUAUCAGCUUGUUGGUGGGGUAGUGGCUUACCAAGGCUUUGACGGGUAGCCGGCCUGAGAGGGUGACCGGCCACAGUGGGACUGAGAUACGGCACAGACGCCUACGGGAGGCAGCAGUGGGGAAUAUUGCACAAUGGGCGGAAGCCUGAUGCAGCAACGCCGCGUGCGGGAUGACGGCCUUCGGGUUGUAAACCGCUUUCGCCUGUGACGAAGCGUGAGUGACGGUAAUGGGUAAAGAAGCACCGGCUAACUACG